UUUAACGAGAGUUUGAUCCUGGCUCAGGAUGAACGCUGGCGGCGUGCCUAACACAUGCAAGUCGAGCGAAGCACUUUACUUUGAUUCUUCGGAUGAAGAGUUUUGUGACUGAGCGGCG
RNAcentral lists this ribosomal RNA (118 nucleotides) under Ruminococcus turbiniformis. RNAcentral's name for it is "partial 16S ribosomal RNA". It matches the Rfam family "Bacterial small subunit ribosomal RNA", at positions 1 to 100 of the family's 1533-position model. The record is from RNAcentral. Lineage: Bacteria; Bacillati; Bacillota; Clostridia; Eubacteriales; Oscillospiraceae.